Molecule: ribosomal RNA, 251 nt
Filed under: uncultured prokaryote
Description: partial 16S rRNA
Rfam family: Bacterial small subunit ribosomal RNA
Source: RNAcentral
ACGAAGGGGGCUAGCGUUGUUCGGAAUUACUGGGCGUAAAGCGCACGUAGGCGGAUCGGUCAGUUAGGGGUGAAAUCCCAGGGCUCAACCCUGGAACUGCCUUUAAUACUGCCGGUCUAGAGUUCGAGAGAGGUGAGUGGAAUUCCGAGUGUAGAGGUGAAAUUCGUAGAUAUUCGGAGGAACACCAGUGGCGAAGGCGGCUCACUGGCUCGAUACUGACGCUGAGGUGCGAAAGCGUGGGGAGCAAACAG